Molecule: ribosomal RNA, 460 nt
Filed under: uncultured bacterium
Lineage: Bacteria
Description: partial 16S ribosomal RNA
Rfam family: Bacterial small subunit ribosomal RNA
Source: RNAcentral
CCUACGGGUGGCAGCAGUGAGGAAUAUUGGUCAAUGGGCGAGAGCCUGAACCAGCCAAGUCGCGUGAAGGAUGACGGCCCUACGGGUUGUAAACUUCUUUUGUCAGGGAGCAAUUUAGUCCACGUGUGGGCUUAUCGAGAGUAUCUGAAGAAAAAGCAUCGGCUAACUCCGGCCCAGCAGCCGCGUUAUUACGGAGGAUGCGAGCGUUAUCGGGAUUUAUUGGGUUUAAGGGGGGCGUAGGCGGAAUAUCAAGUCAGCGGUAAAUGUUCGGGGCUAAACCCGGUCGUGCCGUUGAAACUGGUGUUCUUGAGUGGGCGAGAGGUAUGCGGAAUGCGUGGUGUAGCGGUGAAAUGCAUAGAUAUCACGCAGAACUCCGAUUGCGAAGGCAGCAUACCGGCGCCCAACUGACGCUGAAGCACGAAAGCGUGGGUAUCGAACAGGAUUAGAUACCCUGGUAGUC